RNAcentral lists this ribosomal RNA (197 nucleotides) under uncultured bacterium. Its description in RNAcentral is "partial 16S ribosomal RNA". It matches the Rfam family "Bacterial small subunit ribosomal RNA", at positions 328 to 539 of the family's 1533-position model. The record is from RNAcentral.
ACGCUCGACACCUAGGGAGACAGCAGUGGGGAAUAUUGCACAAUGGGGGAAACCCUGAUGCAGCAACGCCGCGUGAGUGAAGAAGUAUUUCGGUAUGUAAAGCUCUAUCAGCAGGGAAGAUAAUGACGGUACCUGACUAAGAAGCUCCGGCUAAAUACGUGCCGGCAGCCGCGGUAAUCUGAGCGGGCUGGCAAGGC